CGCUGGCGGUAUGCCUAAGACAUGCAAGUCGCACGGACUGUUUCGGCAGUUAGUGGCGGACGGGUGAGUAACACGUAGGUGACCUACCCCAAAGUCUGGGACAACUAGGAGAAAUCUUAGCUAAUCCUGGAUGUGAACCUCAGCUGUGGCUGAUGUUUAAAGCUUCGGCGCUUUGGGAUGGGCCUGCGGCGCAUCAGGUAGUUGGUGGGGUAACGGCCCACCAAGCCGACGACGCGUAGCUGGUCUGAGAGGACGACCAGCCACAGGGGUACUGAGACACGGACCCCACUCCUACGGGAGGCAGCAGUUAGGAAUCUUCCGCAAUGGGCGAAAGCCUGACGGAGCGAUACCGCUUGAAGGACGAAGCCCUUCGGGGUGUAAACUUCUGAACUCGGGACGAUAAUGACGGUACCGAGGUAAUAGCACCGGCUAACUCCGUGCCAGCAGCCGCGGUAAUACGGAGGGUGCGAGCGUUA
RNAcentral lists this ribosomal RNA (476 nucleotides) under uncultured bacterium. Its description in RNAcentral is "bacterial SSU rRNA". It matches the Rfam family "Bacterial small subunit ribosomal RNA", at positions 34 to 543 of the family's 1533-position model. The record is from RNAcentral.